This 404-nucleotide RNase P RNA is filed under the name Sphingomonas bacterium. Its description in RNAcentral is "RNase P RNA component class A". It matches the Rfam family "Bacterial RNase P class A". From Rfam's summary of the family: Ribonuclease P (RNase P) is a ubiquitous endoribonuclease, found in archaea, bacteria and eukarya as well as chloroplasts and mitochondria. Lineage: Bacteria; Pseudomonadati; Pseudomonadota; Alphaproteobacteria; Sphingomonadales; Sphingomonadaceae. The record is from RNAcentral.
UCAGGGGACUGGGCGGCCGCGGCGGAUUUCGAUCCGGCGAGGAAAGUCCGGGCUCCACGGAAUGAAGGUGCCGGGUAACGCCCGGCGGGGUCGCGGCUUCGGCCAAGGCUUCAGGGAAAGUGCCACAGAAAGCAUACCGCCGGGCAUCUUGGGUAACCUUGGGGACCGGUAAGGUCGAAAGGGUGCGGCAAGAGCGCACCGCGCGGCUGGCAACAGUCGCGGCAUGGCAAACCCCACCUGGUGCAAGACCGAAUAGGGGUGGCAUAUGGGGCAAUUUCCGCCUCGUCACCCGGGUUGGUCGCUUGAGCGGCGGAGCAAUCCGUCGCCUAGAGGAAUGGUCGCCCAUCCGCCUUUGCUUCGGCUUCGGCGGAGGACAGAACCCGGCUUACAGGUCCCCUGGCAAU